RNAcentral lists this unclassified non-coding RNA (324 nucleotides) under soil metagenome. RNAcentral's name for it is "partial contains 5.8S ribosomal RNA, internal transcribed spacer 2, and large subunit ribosomal RNA". The stretch from base 1 to 120 matches the Rfam family "5.8S ribosomal RNA", at positions 35 to 154 of the family's 154-position model. The record is from RNAcentral.
GAUGAAGAACGUAGCGAAAUGCGAUAAGUAAUGCGAAUUGCAGAAUUCAGUGAGUCAUCGAAUCUUUGAACGCACAUUGCGCCCUGUGGUAUUCCGCAGGGCAUGCCUGUUCGAGCGUCAUUUCAACCCUCAAGCCUCGCUUGGUGUUGGGCCCUGCCCGCCGCGGCCGGCCCUAAAGAUAGUGGCGGCGCCGCCUGGCCCUCAGCGUAGUACAGCUCUCGCUCCAGGGUCCGGCGGCAGCCUGCCAGAACCCCCCAACUCUGUGGUUGACCUCGGAUCAGGUAGGGAUACCCGCUGAACUUAAGCAUAUCAAUAGGCGGAGGA